RNAcentral lists this transfer RNA (69 nucleotides) under Geckolepis maculata. RNAcentral's name for it is "tRNA-Ala". The record is from RNAcentral. Lineage: Eukaryota; Metazoa; Chordata; Lepidosauria; Squamata; Gekkonidae.
UGAGGUCUUAGCUUAAUUAAAGUACCUGAGUUGCAUUCAGGAGAUGUAGUAUAGUGUUUUACAGGCCUU